GCAGCCGUAGCUCAGCUGUUCGAGCAUCAGAUUUGUAAUCAUAAGGUCGCGGGUUUGAUACCCGCCCAAGGUAGCA
Molecule: non-coding RNA, 76 nt
Organism: Potamilus streckersoni
Lineage: Eukaryota; Metazoa; Mollusca; Bivalvia; Unionida; Unionidae
Source: the annotation of a GenBank genome assembly